GUGGCGAACGGGUGAGUAACACGUGGGUAAUCUGCCCUGCACUCUGGGAUAAGCCUUGGAAACGAGGUCUAAUACCGGAUAUGACACACGAAGGCAUCUUCUGUGUGUGGAAAGUUCCGGCGGUGCAGGAUGAGCCCGCGGCCUAUCAGCUUGUUGGUGGGGUAGUGGCCUACCAAGGCGACGACGGGUAGCCGGCCUGAGAGGGUGACCGGCCACACUGGGACUGAGACACGGCCCAGACUCCUACGGGAGGCAGCAGUGGGGAAUCUUGCGCAAUGGGCGAAAGCCUGACGCAGCAACGCCGCGUGGGGGAUGACGGCCUUCGGGUUGUAAACCUCUUUCGACAGGGACGAAGCUUUCGGGUGACGGUACCUGUAGAAGAAGCACCGGCUAACUACGUGCCAGCAGCCGCGGUAAUACGUAGGGUGCGAGCGUUGUCCGGAUUUAUUGGGCGUAAAGAGCUCGUAGGCGGUUUGUCGCGUCGGCCGUGAAAACCUGCAGCUUAACUGUGGGCGUGCGGUCGAUACGGGCAGACUUGAGUUCGGCAGGGGAGACUGGAAUUCCUGGUGUAGCGGUGAAAUGCGCAGAUAUCAGGAGGAACACCGGUGGCGAAGGCGGGUCUCUGGGCCGAUACUGACGCUGAGGAGCGAAAGCAUGGGGAGCGAACAGGAUUAGAUACC
RNAcentral lists this ribosomal RNA (680 nucleotides) under Saccharopolyspora dendranthemae. RNAcentral's name for it is "bacterial SSU rRNA". It matches the Rfam family "Bacterial small subunit ribosomal RNA", at positions 95 to 786 of the family's 1533-position model. The record is from RNAcentral. Lineage: Bacteria; Bacillati; Actinomycetota; Actinomycetes; Pseudonocardiales; Pseudonocardiaceae.